Molecule: transfer RNA, 77 nt
Filed under: Vibrio cholerae
Lineage: Bacteria; Pseudomonadati; Pseudomonadota; Gammaproteobacteria; Vibrionales; Vibrionaceae
Description: tRNA-Gln
Rfam family: tRNA
About the family: Transfer RNA (tRNA) molecules are approximately 80 nucleotides in length. Their secondary structure includes four short double-helical elements and three loops (D, anti-codon, and T loops). Further hydrogen bonds mediate the characteristic L-shaped molecular structure. tRNAs have two regions of fundamental functional importance: the anti-codon, which is responsible for specific mRNA codon recognition, and the 3' end, to which the tRNAs corresponding amino acid is attached (by aminoacyl-tRNA synthetases). tRNAs cope with the degeneracy of the genetic code in two manners: having more than one tRNA (with a specific anti-codon) for a particular amino acid; and 'wobble' base-pairing, i.e. permitting non-standard base-pairing at the 3rd anti-codon position.
Source: RNAcentral
AGGUCUGUCGCCAAGCGGUAAGGCAACGGGUUUUGAUCCCGUCAAUAUCCUAGGUUCGAAUCCUAGCAGACCUGCCA